This 1122-nucleotide long non-coding RNA is filed under the name Homo sapiens (human). RNAcentral describes it as "HSALNT0391375". Lineage: Eukaryota; Metazoa; Chordata; Mammalia; Primates; Hominidae. The record is from RNAcentral.
AUGGUGAAUGAAUGGUGGGCGGAGAUGGUGGUUGUGGGGAGUUGGUGCCUACGAGACGAUUAUGACCUGGCCUUUCUCUGCAGCUCCUCUUGGGAAGGCAUUUUCUUCUUUCUGCAAACCGUGCUGCUGUUUGUUUGGAGAAGGAGAGCUGUGGGCCCCACACAUUGAUUUUAAUUUUCAACACUUAGCACCUGACUUAGUGAUCUAAGAUCACUGACUCAGAAAACAGGAAAGGUCAGUCUGCCUAACACCUCACCCAGCGUCCUGGGAUUAGCAUCCAAAACAAACAGAUCAGAGAUGGGAUGCAGACUCCCAAGAGAUGAUUCCCACAUGUGAGAAAGCCCAGGAGAAGCGGAUGGCGGAUGGCGUUUCUCAAGCUCGCUGACGUCACUCAAGUUCAUGAUCCAAGGCUUCACCCUACUGGGGUUGGGGGGUUGGGUUCUACUGGAAGAGUGAAGCUGGUGGAUUAAGAAAAGUGGUGGUAGGGAGAGGGAGGGAAAGGAGUUCUUUCUGCUAGUCAAAGGAGAAACCAAAUAAAAUGAAUGAAGUCCAAGAAAAAUACAACUCUAUUGUUUUGGGGGCAUAAGAGGCUGGCUUGGAGGCUUCAUUGAGUAAUUCGAGUCACACCCUUUCUCUGUGGGCCUGAAGGAAUGUUGGCUGUUUCUCUGCAGCCCAGGUGGGAGGUGGGUAGACAGGUCUAUGGAGAUGAGAAUUUCUUGGAGCUGUUAACUCUCUGAACAUCCCCACGGCCUUGCAAGCUGGGAGGCUGGGACACAAAGAAGCAGGAAUGCAGUGCUGAAUCAAGGCCAAGGAGCAGCGGCCAUGGGAGGGGACGGCGGGAAGAGAAAAAGGCGGAAGAAACCUAGAAAACAGGGAAGGAAGUGACCCUGUUCUUUUUCUCCUCUUCUGAACAGGGGCUUCUCUGUCCUCAAGAGCCCCUUGGCUCCCUUUCAUUAAGCCAUAGGGCGGAUACCCAGGGAGAGGUGGCGUGUCUGGGUCGGGGUUGUGAUGGGAAGCAGGAAGCACCAGUCAUUUCACAAGAAGGCUUGACAUUGGAGAGGGAGCCAGCAAAAACUGGCAGACCCCCAAGGUGGGGUAGGAAAGUCUGGCCUAGCGUGAAGA